UGUGGCGCCAAAGGUCUCAGUGAACGGUUUCCUUUUCCUCCUCCUGCGUCUGCUCGCGGAUAUGGACUGAAACUCGCGGGUCUGUCCCUUGGGACCUUACUUUUCUUCAGUUACUUACGUUUUACAGUCUUCGCUUUACGGUUUACGGAGCUUCUAAUUUUCAAAUAUUGAAUGAUUUUUAGCCCCACAUUUACGAGUAUCGCCCUAUUUAACGACUAUAAACUGAGAGUGUUCAAAAUCUGGAGUGGAUUUUAUACUUACAGCACAUAUCAGUUUGGAGUAGCUACAUUUCACGUACUUGUGUGGCUAGGUGAAGGUCUAGGAUAUGCCUUUCCUAGAAGAAGUCACCUGGGAGGCCAAGUUAACAAUCAGAAGACUCUGGGCUGCACUUGCUGCAGUAAUGCCAGAUCUAAGCCACGUCUGUGACUUACACCACAGUUCACGGCAACACUGGAUACUUAACCCACUAAGCAAGGCCAGGGAUCAGACCUAUAUCUUCAUGGAUGCUAGCUGGGUUCUUAACCCGCUGAGUCACAACAGGAAUUCCCGUGAAUUGAAUUUUGGAUGUAUUUUGGGUGUGGGGCUGCCAGAAAUUGCAGACUGAGGAGAUGGGAAUAUGAGAGAGAGGAGUCAGGAUGGUACCAAGAUUUUUGGCCUGAGUAACAGGAAGAAUGGAGUUGCCAUCGACUGAGAAGGAGAAGGCAGCAAGAGGAGCUGGUCUGGGAAAGAGAGGUUGUAUCAGUAGUAUAGAAUGAGAUGUAUUUGCAUUAAGUUUGAGUCUGUUGUUGAAAAUCCAAGUAGAGAUGGUAAAUAGGUAUUCCAGUCUGAAUUGCAGAUACAAAUUUUGGGAAUCAUUGAUAAACAGAUGCUAUUUAAAGCAUAUUAAAUGGAUAAGUCUAAGUACUUGAAUUCUUAGCAUACUUCAAAAUACAGAGGUGUGGAGAUGAUAAGCAAAAGAGACUAAGAAGCAGUCAGAAAAUAGGAGGGAAAGUGGGUUAAAAUGGUACCUUGUUAUUGUUCUCUCUCUCUCUCUCUUUUUUUUUUUCCAUAGGCAAGAAAUAGAUUUAUGAAGAUAGGACGCUUGUGAGAGAUGCAAGCGGGCAGGCAAGGGGGCUCUGCCUGUUAUUGCUUUCAUUUGCACUUCUUUCAUUAUUGUUGUACAUUCCUUUGUAGAUUUUUUAUAACCGUUAUCAAUAGGGCUUUUUUGAUCUGAUUUUAAAAAUCCAUUGUAUUAAUUUUUUAAAUAUAAUAUGGCUUUUUAACCCUUUGUCAUACUAUACGAAAAUAUUCCUUCUGUUUUUUGUCUUUUUUUGUCUAUGACUGUUUAAAAUAUUUAUGUGGUAAAUAGUAAAUUGAUUAGUUUUUUUUUGUUUUGUUUUGUUUUUUUUUUUGAUUUUAAAGCUGCACCUGUGGCACAUGGAAGUUCCCAGGCUAGGAGUCCAAUUGGAGCUGCAGCUGCCAGCCUAUGCCACAGCCACGGCAAUGCCAGAUCUGAGUUGCAGCUCAGGGCAACACUGGAUCCUUAACCCACUGAGUGAGGCCAAGGAUUGAAUUUGAAACCUCGUGGAUACUAGUUGGGUUCACAGCCUGCUGAGCCACAGCAGGAACUCCCUUGAUUAGCAUUUUUAUUUGUGAUUUAUCUUCUUCUUGGGAAGCCUGGAAAUUUGUCUCAUCCUCUUGAGAUCUGAAGAUCAUUUAACUCUACUUUAUUCUAGCUUUUCAUUGUCUUGAUUUAUUUUUAUUGAUCUUUUUUUGUUGUUUUUGAUCUUAUUUUAUUGACCUAGAAUUAGUUCUAGUGCAUAAUGUGAGGUCAGGGUUUAAACCCAUUUCCUCAAGCAGAGGACUAAGUCAAUCAGCAGCAAAUAUUAUUUAGUUCACACAGGAAUUCAUAGUUAGAAAGGUGAUCAGGGUACAUGGGGCCUUGUGCUGAGACCCCUCGCCUGGGAACCUCCGUGUGCCGUGGGUGAGGCCCUAGAAGUGGCAAAAAGACAAAAAGACCAAAAAAAAAAAAAAAGCACUAUUAUGUGUAUUUAUGCAUAUUUCUGAGAAAUCUUAAGUUCUAAUAUCAAUACAAUUUUCUCUCUAGCUUGAGUGCUGUGGUUCUCUACAGUAGAGAAUUUUCAAAUAAAGGCAAUGCUUAAAAUAAUGAUUUUCCAUUUAAUUAAAGCAGAUACUUGCAAGUAAGUUUAUUUUCAGUUCACAUUUGAAUUGUUAUACUCAAUGUAUAAAUUGUUAUACAUUUUAAUUGUUAUACUCUUGAAGGUGAGGCAUUUGUUUAUUAUUUCUUUAUAAUUAUAGGUGACUGCUAAUAUUCUGGUUCAUUUUUUUAAAAUACCUAAAGAUACCCUUCAGUCUGAAAAUAGAAUUAUCCAUUGGAAAGUAAAACUAGUAAGAUUAAUCUGAAUACUAAAAAUGCAUCUUGCUUAUAAAUAUAGAUUUCAAAUCUUGAGUAAACAAAAAAAGAAAAGAAAAGAAAAGAAAGGAGUUCCUGUCGUGGCGCAGUGGUUAACGAAUCUGACUAGGAACCAUGAAGUUGCAGGUUCGAUCUCUGGCCUUGCUUGGUGGGUUAAGGAUCCAGCGUUGCCGUGAGCUGUGGUGUAGGUCGCAGACGUGGCUUGGAUCCUGUGUUGCUGUGGCUCUGGCGUAGGCUGGUGGCUACAGCUCCGAUUAGACCCCUAGCCUGGGAACCUCCAUAUGCCACGGGAGUGGCCCUAGAAAAGACAAAAAAAAAAAAAAUCUUGAGUAAAAAGACAAACAAGUUGGGAGUUCCCAUUGUGGUGCAGCAGAAACAAAUCCAACUAGCAUCCAUGAGGACGCGGGUUUGAUCCCUGGCCUCACUCAGUGGAUUAAAGAUCCAGUGUUGCUGUGAACUGUGAUGUAGGUGACAGAUGUGGC
RNAcentral lists this long non-coding RNA (2895 nucleotides) under Sus scrofa (pig). RNAcentral's name for it is "lncRNA (ENSSSCG00030053117.1)". The record is from RNAcentral. Lineage: Eukaryota; Metazoa; Chordata; Mammalia; Artiodactyla; Suidae.